RNAcentral lists this long non-coding RNA (1658 nucleotides) under Olea europaea subsp. europaea. The record is from RNAcentral. Lineage: Eukaryota; Viridiplantae; Streptophyta; Magnoliopsida; Lamiales; Oleaceae.
AGUUGCCGGCACAAGUGACCGUACUGGAGAAGGGAGGCAAUGUGGGCAGCACAAAUAGGCUGCGAUCGACUCGUGUUCGACGUCCUGUACCACCUACCCGGACGCCAUACACGAGGGGAAGGGCAAAGAGAGUAAAGAAAUGAGUGAGUUCAAGUGGUUUGGUAAGAUCUGAUUUAGUAGUAGAUACGUUGUUGGUAACAAAGACAUGCUUUGAAUUUGGUUUGAUUUAUGGACUGAUACGUUUGCUCACCCAUAUGCUACACGUUAAAUUGUCUUAUGUACAGUACAUUAAUGUUUAGUGCAAGUAUGGGAUGGUAUUGUCGGUACAUUUUAUGUGUAUGCGUUGACGACAUAAUGCAUUUACUGUUCUUGAAAUAUGCUACACGUUAAACUGUCUUUUGUAGAGUACAUAUCGUUUUACUAUAAUACAUGUUUAGUGCAAGCAUGGGAUGGUAGUGUCGAUAAAUUUUGUGUGUAUGCGUUGACGACAUAAUGCAUGUCUUCUUCAUGAAAUGUGAAAGGGUACAUCAACAUCAUAACUAAAAUGAAUAUAUCAUCAUUCUUAUACAUCCCAGUCAUAUGACUUGUCAACACAAACGGACGAUUUUUCCUGUUAGAGUCCUCACAAAAAUCUGCAUGCGUACGCGCAACCUUAGCACGAAGUGCAGAGUUGACUCCUGGUCUGGUGGGAUUCCUUCCUUGUCCUGAAUUGUAGCUUUAACAUUAUCGCUGGUGUCGGAGCUUUCACCUUCACGGGUUAUUGUCUUCCCGGUAGGGCUUUUGACAAUAAUCUGCCUGCCACCACCAAGCCUUGACAUGAAAUGGAGUGUGGACUCCUUAUGAAUUUUAUAGUCACCCGAACUACGGCCAUCCAAAGCUAUUAACCAGCGAACAUGAGCCUCUGUGUUGGUCAGGUGCGAUGCCUUCGUUGUCUUGUAUGUUGGCUUCACCAUUAUAUUUAUGGCCUGUAUUGUUUAUAAAUCCUUUCACAUAUCAUAAGCAAUACAAGCCAUAAAUAUAUUGGUCAUUAGAUUGCCUGUACGUUUUCUACUCCAUGGGUGAGUACAUUUUCUGGUUCUUAUGUUGAUUGAAUGGAUAGUUAUGAACUUGCUCUGCUCUAUCAUUUCACUUUAGUAGACACCUGAUGCAGGUAGGCAGCUGAUUAAUUCGGAGGGCUGAUUUUUCAGUUGAUCAUGUGCUUUCAUCGAGGUGUGAUGACAUUUUUUUGUACAAUGAUGAAGAGGUGUAGUUAACAGCACCAAAUAACAACCAAAGGGAUCCAAACCUGGGUUCAUGCCUGAAGGUGCAACUGUGGAGACGAUUACAUCGUAUCACAUAUGAUGUAAUCGUUGAUGAUGUCAAGGGGGUUUAUGAGAUUACUUCAAUUCCAUAUGGGGAUAUGGUUAAGUGGAACGCACAUUCAGACAUGACAUUUGUUUGUAUUGUAAUUAAUUUAAUGUUCAUCAUACUUGAUGAAGUAAUAGUAUUCUGUAAUUUCAUUUCAUUAGAAUUGAAGGUGUUAUACCUGCACAAAUGAGUCAUGGUAUGAAAUGAUCUUCUGUGUAAUGGAGUGUGGUCGAAUGAUUGAGGACAAUGAUUAUUGUAAAAUUCGCAUUACCGUAGAAUGAAAAAUUCGGUGUUAUCUUUGCUACGUUGGC